RNAcentral lists this ribosomal RNA (253 nucleotides) under uncultured bacterium. RNAcentral describes it as "partial 16S ribosomal RNA". It matches the Rfam family "Bacterial small subunit ribosomal RNA", at positions 524 to 776 of the family's 1533-position model. The record is from RNAcentral.
UACGUAGGGUGCAAGCGUUGUCCGGAAUUAUUGGGCGUAAAGAGCUCGUAGGCGGUUUGUCGCGUCUGCUGUGAAAACUCGGGGCUUAACCCCGGGCCUGCAGUGGGUACGGGCAAGCUAGAAUUCGGUAGGGGAGACUGGAAUUCCUGGUGUAGCGGUGAAAUGCGCAGAUAUCAGGAGGAACACCGGUGGCGAAGGCGGGUCUCUGGGCCGAAAUUGACGCUGAGGAGCGAAGGCGUGGGGAGCAAACAGG